GACGAACGCUGGCGGCGUGCUUAACACAUGCAAGUCGAACGGAAAGGCCCUGCUUUUGUGGGGUGCUCGAGUGGCGAACGGGUGAGUAACACGUGAGUAACCUGCCCUUGACUUUGGGAUAACUUCAGGAAACUGGGGCUAAUACCGGAUAGGAGCUCCUGCUGCAUGGUGGGGGUUGGAAAGUUUCGGCGGUUGGGGAUGGACUCGCGGCUUAUCAGCUUGUUGGUGGGGUAGUGGCUUACCAAGGCUUUGACGGGUAGCCGGCCUGAGAGGGUGACCGGCAACAUGGGGACUGAGAUACGGCCCAGACUCCUACGGGAGGCAGCAGUGGGGAAUAUUGCACAAUGGGCGGAAGCCUGAUGCAGCAACGCCGCGUGCGGGAUGACGGCCUUCGGGUUGUAAACCGCUUUCGCCUGUGACGAAGCGUGAGUGACGGUAAUGGGUAAAGAAGCACCGGCUAACUACGUG
Molecule: ribosomal RNA, 468 nt
Filed under: uncultured bacterium
Lineage: Bacteria
Description: partial 16S ribosomal RNA
Rfam family: Bacterial small subunit ribosomal RNA
Source: RNAcentral